Molecule: non-coding RNA, 367 nt
Organism: Tessaracoccus flavus
Lineage: Bacteria; Bacillati; Actinomycetota; Actinomycetes; Propionibacteriales; Propionibacteriaceae
Rfam family: transfer-messenger RNA
About the family: Bacterial tmRNA, also known as 10Sa RNA or SsrA, is named for its dual tRNA and mRNA-like properties. Its role is to liberate the mRNA from a stalled ribosome.
Source: Rfam
GGGGGUGACUGGUUUCGACUUGGGACGGUAGUUCCAGGGGAAGCGGGUCGAGAAUCCAUGCUCAUCUCGUAAACGAUGCAUGGAAACCAAUAAGUGCCAACUCAAACCGCACUAACUUCGCUCUCGCUGCCUGAUCAGUGAUCGAAGGGUCAGCCCGGAUGCGCCUUCCGUCCGGUUCCUGGCCUCAUUCAGAAGGCUUGCUGAGUGGCCUGUGUUUCAGGGGCCACUCGGGACUUAACUGAGACUGGGUCCGUUUGCGACAUGCCGACGUGAGUGCAAGGACCGAGAAAACGCCUAGUCGGCUGCACCCGGAGAAGCCCUGGUUCAUCUCUUAAGGACGCGGGUUCGAUUCCCGCCACCUCCACCA